This 210-nucleotide unclassified non-coding RNA is filed under the name Hevea brasiliensis (rubber tree). Lineage: Eukaryota; Viridiplantae; Streptophyta; Magnoliopsida; Malpighiales; Euphorbiaceae. The record is from RNAcentral.
AAUGGUAUGCUGUGAAUAUCACUUACAGGGUGAAAUUUAAAUUGCUUGAAGCCUAAACAUAUCAAAAUUGGCUGAACAAGACCAACUAUAUUCCUUUGAGGUAAAACUAACCAGGUUGAAUAAUUUUCACUCCAAAAGCCUAAUGAAAGGCGUUUAUAAUAGUUGGCACAGCCUGAUUUGAUGCAAACCUACACAAGUAGCAAAUGCAUG